Long non-coding RNA from Triticum aestivum (bread wheat), 2566 nucleotides. RefSeq lists it as uncharacterized. The record is from RefSeq and is a predicted model, not a curated record. NCBI's taxonomy places the organism in Eukaryota, Viridiplantae, Streptophyta, Magnoliopsida, Poales, Poaceae. The transcript has 4 exons.
UCGUCGAACCAUCUCGAAACAAAUCGAAUCACCGACAGACAUCACUGGAAUCGAUCUGGCGGGGCGGCCGGUACUGGCGCCGUCCACCCCAGCGCCUCUCACGCUUCUCAGCCCCACCGCCCACCACCAUGAUGUACCUCCACCUCGACGUCCUCUCCGCCCCCUUGCCCGUCUCCUCCAACGCCGACCUCAGCAAGCAUGCCGUCAAUGUCGUCCGUCUACGGACGCCUCUCCUGCCCCCUCCGACACAGCAGUUCGAGCGCUCCCACCUCCCCGUGCUCCUCGUCAUCCCCUCCACCCAUCGUCAUCUCCUUUGUUACCAGCCGCCGCAAGCCGCGCCUCCCACCACCACCACGCCCCCUUCUCGUGGCCAUCUCCUCCGUGUGCUUCCCCGUCUCCCUCGACGCCAACCUUCGCAAGCACGCCACCGACGCCAACCUCCACAAGUACGCCACCGGCAAGGUCGUUCCCCGGUGAAUCUCCCCUUCCUCGCGGUCUCCUCCAUCCCUGCCCCGUCUCCUAUAUACACUGCAAAAGGAGCACAGGGUUGAGCACACCCACACCGAGGCCAAGGAGGAUGAGCGUGCCGCUGCUGAUGGGACAGGCAGGAGAGAGAAAAUCUUCUCGUUUUCCACCACGCCACCCUCUGUUGGCCACAACAGCUUAGACGAGGACGGCACAUCGCGGAAGUCAGUCGAUUCUUCGGCCUUCGACCCUAACGGUAGCGGCCUUCUGAGAUCGAUCCUCGUCCGUCCAGUUGCUCUAGCUGUCAGUAAAUUGCAGUUGCACUUGCGAGCAUCCUGGUGGUGGAGGCAAGCGGCGGUUAGGAUGCUGCUGUAUUGUGCGCUGAUGAGGUGGUUGGGCACCGUACAGGGGGCACUCGGUGGAGGAGUUCACACAUCGGAUUUCUGAUUGGCGGUUGUUCGAAUGUGGUGUCCAAGGACAAGGGGUAAAGGUGUUAGACUGCUGCCAGGGGAGGCGUAUGGUUCUGUCAGGCAACAUGCUGGUCACACUCUCACAUCUUCAGAUCAAACGGAGUGUGGAGCUCGGACUCACUGCCCUUCGCCUUCUGAUGCUUCGUCAAGGUACAAUAUAAUUCCACCUGGACACGCAGAUUUGGGUGAAAAUUUUGAAUUUGAGAAAUGACAUGAUAGGCAGAAUGAGGUUUGGGGAAUAAAAGGCAGUAGUUGAGCAGAGCACGUCUAUGUGCAUCACACCAGAACAUACCGCGGAGCGCGUCGGCGGUGAGGAUGAGCAGCGCGUAGCCAGCGGCAUACUUGUGGAGGUCAGCGUCCGAGGAGACGGGGAGCAUGCAGAUGAGAUGGUGAUGACGAGGAGGAGGUGGCGGCGGUGGGUGGAGGAAUGAUGCAGCAAGGGAGGAAGCACGAGAGGUGUUGGGGCAUAGACAGCGCCGUCCGCGUACUUGCGGGGAGUGGAAUCGCAAGAGAUGGAGGAGCGGGUGGAGGGGAUGGCGAGGAAGAGGGGGACGUGGUGGAGAUGGUGGGGGCUGGGGCUACGGUGGAAGGGGAGGAGGCAGGAGUGUCUGGUCAAUUUUGAUGUGUGUAGGGGUUUUGUACUUCUGAAUUUUCUCAAAGAAAUUUGCAUUGUCGGGCUCAGCUACUUCUGAAUUUUGGGGUUGCCUCACAAAGGGCGAGAUGCAUGAUAGUGACACAAAGAUGGGCGAGCACGGGGAAUGUAGGAACCUGCAAGGUGUUGUGUCACAGUUACUGCUGCAAGGAUGACUAUAGCGGCAACUGUUUGCACAAUAACUUAUUAAUGACAUAGGUGAGGAUGAUAUUUUUUCUUUAUCAGUAGUCAUAUUUGUCAGAUUAAGAUCCACAUGUAAUCAUUCCAACACCUUGUAUCAUAAGAGCUAGCCGAAAGUGAUUAUGCUUUUAAGCCAGUUGGUAUUUUUUCUUUUAAGCCAGUUGGUAUUUUUUUACGGAAAGUGUUUCUCACCAAGGAAGGUAAUUAUAAUAAGCAUUAGCGUCAGCAUGAUAUUUAGAUAACCGAAAUAUGAUAAAAUAUACUCAGGAGAUCCUGAUCUUACUAAGUGCACAGUUCUCCAAGAAUAUAGUCAGAACAUUUUUUGUUGUUGUGCUCAAGUAGCAAGCAGUAGCAGGCAGUAGGUGACUUUGGUUUUCCUCGUGUUAUAUUCAACUCCUGCUUUAUUUAAUGUAAGAAGCGGGUGAAAUUUGUUCAACUAAGUAGUAAUCCAAUGAUAUGUAUACAGCAAAGGUUUCCUGCCAGGACCAUUGCCUCCAGUUUCUUGAUGUACGUUGACCAUUUAUUUGUAAGAUGUAACAUAUACCAAGGCACCUAUAUGAUACAGGGGAAAUCUGUAACAUCCCAAAUUUUCAAUUUAGAUUGUUAUACAAAUAGAUCAUUAUUGCAUAUCAUAUUUAAUGCAUUUUGCCUCGAUCCUAGAAAUUCCACGCAACUCACAGACCCCCGGAGAGAGUUGGGGAUUUCGUUAUUUUCAUAUUUGAGUUUUCUCAAAUUUUGAAAAUAGGAUCAUUUGAUUUUAUUUAUUUUAUCUUCAAUCAUUUCAAAUUAUAAAUUAUGA